Molecule: long non-coding RNA, 351 nt
Filed under: Lathyrus oleraceus (garden pea)
Lineage: Eukaryota; Viridiplantae; Streptophyta; Magnoliopsida; Fabales; Fabaceae
Description: Pisum sativum (pea) long non-coding RNA (PSAT_LNC040363)
Source: RNAcentral
UCUUUUCUCAAGGUUGCAUCAACUUCCGGGGUGCCUUAUCAGCCUAAGUUUGAGGUGUGUCAUUCAUCCACUACCAUUGAUCUCGGGCUCGUCCAACCAUUUCUCAUCACUCUGUACACACAAGUAAACAACGAAAACAAACAAAAACAAUACGACGACAACAAAACAAAACAUGAAAGGAAAUAAAACAUGAAAGGAAAAACCUCCCCACACCUGAACUAAACAUUGACCUCAAUGUUUAAAUCCAGAUACAAAGGGGACUCACAGCGACUACUGUUGGUUUACUGCACUUGUGUAAUUUCCUUCCACUUGGAGGUGUUUGUGACUUUGCCCUUUUAAUUCUCCUCCUCC